This is a long non-coding RNA of Sphaerodactylus townsendi, 220 nucleotides long. RefSeq lists it as uncharacterized. The transcript is spliced from 3 exons. Lineage: Eukaryota; Metazoa; Chordata; Lepidosauria; Squamata; Sphaerodactylidae. The record is from RefSeq and is a predicted model, not a curated record.
GGCACGAAGCCUUGCUAAAUUACAUUCUGUCGGCAGAGACUGGGAUCGAAGUGGCGCAGACAAACUUGGCACAUCUCUGCGAAGAGAGGCCAGAUGUGGCAAAAAGAUACUUGGCAACGGACUGCGUUUGGAGAUAUUAUAAUUUUUCAGUUUCACAGAACAACGCUCCUUCGUUUGCUUAUUUAAAAGUAGGAGAUUUCUACUACUACGGAUAUCAGAA